Molecule: ribosomal RNA, 758 nt
Filed under: uncultured bacterium
Lineage: Bacteria
Description: bacterial SSU rRNA
Rfam family: Bacterial small subunit ribosomal RNA
Source: RNAcentral
AGUCGAGCGAAGCACUUUGCUUAGAUUCUUCGGAUGAAGAGGAUUGUGACUGAGCGGCGGACGGGUGAGUAACGCGUGGGUAACCUGCCUCAUACAGGGGGAUAACAGUUAGAAAUGACUGCUAAUACCGCAUAAGACCACAGCACCGCAUGGUGCGGGGGUAAAAACUCCGGUGGUAUGAGAUGGACCCGCGUCUGAUUAGCUAGUUGGUAAGGUAACGGCUUACCAAGGCGACGAUCAGUAGCCGACCUGAGAGGGUGACCGGCCACAUUGGGACUGAGACACGGCCCAAACUCCUACGGGAGGCAGCAGUGGGGAAUAUUGCACAAUGGGGGAAACCCUGAUGCAGCGACGCCGCGUGAGCGAAGAAGUAUUUCGGUAUGUAAAGCUCUAUCAGCAGGGAAGAAAAUGACGGUACCUGACUAAGAAGCACCGGCUAAAUACGUGCCAGCAGCCGCGGUAAUACGUAUGGUGCAAGCGUUAUCCGGAUUUACUGGGUGUAAAGGGAGCGUAGACGGAGUGGCAAGUCUGAUGUGAAAACCCGGGGCUCAACCCCGGGACUGCAUUGGAAACUGUCAAUCUGGAGUACCGGAGAGGUAAGCGGAAUUCCUAGUGUAGCGGUGAAAUGCGUAGAUAUUAGGAGGAACACCAGUGGCGAAGGCGGCUUACUGGACGGUAACUGACGUUGAGGCUCGAAAGCGUGGGGAGCAAACAGGAUUAGAUACCCUGGUAGUCCACGCCGUANACGAUGACUACUA